UACAGAGGUCCCAAGCGUUGUUCGGAUUCACUGGGCGUAAAGGGUGCGUAGGUGGCGUGGAAAGUCAGAUGUGAAAUCCGGGGGCUCAACCUCCGAAUAGCAUCCGAUACUCCCAUGCUAGAGAACUGGAGGGGGAUCUGGAAUUCUCGGUGUAGCAGUGAAAUGCGUAGAUAUCGAGAGGAACACGAAGGGCGAAGGCAAGACUCUGGACAAGUGCUGACGCUCAUGCACGAAGGCUAGGGUAGCGAACGGG
RNAcentral lists this ribosomal RNA (253 nucleotides) under uncultured bacterium. RNAcentral describes it as "partial 16S ribosomal RNA". It matches the Rfam family "Bacterial small subunit ribosomal RNA", at positions 524 to 776 of the family's 1533-position model. The record is from RNAcentral.